This 720-nucleotide ribosomal RNA is filed under the name uncultured bacterium. Its description in RNAcentral is "partial 16S ribosomal RNA". It matches the Rfam family "Bacterial small subunit ribosomal RNA", at positions 413 to 1121 of the family's 1533-position model. The record is from RNAcentral.
GGUUUUCGGAUCGUAAAACUCUGUUGUUAGGGAAGAACAAGUACCGUUCGAAUAGGGCGGUACCUUGACGGUACCUAACCAGAAAGCCACGGCUAACUACGUGCCAGCAGCCGCGGUAAUACGUAGGKGGCAAGCGUUGUCCGGAAUUAUUGGGCGUAAAGCGCGCGCAGGCGGUUCCUUAAGUCUGAUGUGAAAGCCCACGGCUCAACCGKGGAGGGUCAUUGGAAACUGGGGAACUUGAGUGCARAARAGGARAGSGGAAUUCCMCGUGUAGCGGUGAAAUGCGUARAGAUGUGGAGGAACACCAGUGGCGAAGGCGGYUCUCUGGUCUGUAACUGACGCURAGGCGCGAAAGCGKGGGGAGCAAACAGGAUUARAUACCCUGGUAGUCCACGCCGUAAACRAUGAGKGCUAAGKGUUAGAGGGUUUCCGCCCUUUAGUGCUGCAGCUAACGCAUUAAGCACUCCGCCUGGGGAGUACGGUCGCAAGACUGAAACUCAAAGGAAUUGACGGGGGCCCGCACAAGCGGUGGAGCAUGUGGUUUAAUUCGAAGCAACGCGAAGAACCUUACCAGGUCUKGACAUCCUCUGACCACCCUAGAGAUAGGGCGUUCCCCUUCGGGGGACAGAGUGACAGGUGGUGCAUGGUUGUCGUCAGCUCGUGUCGUGAGAUGUUGGGUUAAGUCCCGCAACGAGCGCAACCCUUGAUCUUAGUUGCCAG